AGGAAGCAGCUUGCUGCUUCGCUGACGAGUGGCGGACGGGUGAGUAAUGUCUGGGAAACUGCCUGAUGGAGGGGGAUAACUACUGGAAACGGUAGCUAAUACCGCAUAAUGUCGCAAGACCAAAGAGGGGGACCCUCGGGCCUCUUGCCAUCGGAUGUGCCCAGAUGGGAUUAGCUUAUUGGUGGGGUAACGGCUCACCAAGGCGACGAUCCCUAGCUGGUCUGAGAGGAUGACCAGCCACACUGGAACUGAGACACGGUCCAGACUCCUACGGGAGGCAGCAGUGGGGAAUAUUGCACAAUGGGCGCAAGCCUGAUGCAGCCAUGCCGCGUGUAUGAAGAAGGCCUUCGGGUUGUAAAGUACUUUCAGCGGGGAGGAAGGGAGUAAAGUUAAUACCUUUGCUCAUUGACGUUACCCGCAGAAGAAGCACCGGCUAACUCCGUGCCAGCAGCCGCGGUAAUACGGAGGGUGCAAACGUUAAUCGGAAUUACUGGGCGUAAAGCGCACGCAGGCGGUUUGUUAAGUCAGAUGUGAAAUCCCCGGGCUCAACCUGGGAACUGCAUCUGAUACUGGCAAGCUUGAGUCUCGUAGAGGGGGGUAGAAUUCCAGGUGUAGCGGUGAAAUGCGUAGAGAUCUGGAGGAAUACCGGUGGCGAAGGCGGCCCCCUGGACGAAGACUGACGCUCAGGUGCGAAAGCGUGGGGAGCGAACAGGAUUAGAUACCCUGGUAGUCCACGCCGUAAACGAUGUCGACUUGGAGGUUGUGCCCUUGAGGCGUGGCUUCCGGAGCU
Molecule: ribosomal RNA, 790 nt
Filed under: uncultured bacterium
Lineage: Bacteria
Description: SSU rRNA
Rfam family: Bacterial small subunit ribosomal RNA
Source: RNAcentral